RNAcentral lists this unclassified non-coding RNA (331 nucleotides) under soil metagenome. Its description in RNAcentral is "partial contains 5.8S ribosomal RNA, internal transcribed spacer 2, and large subunit ribosomal RNA". The stretch from base 1 to 120 matches the Rfam family "5.8S ribosomal RNA", at positions 35 to 154 of the family's 154-position model. The record is from RNAcentral.
GAUGAAGAACGUAGCGAAAUGCGAUAAGUAAUGUGAAUUGCAGAAUUCAGUGAAUCAUCGAAUCUUUGAACGCACAUUGCGCCCCCUGGUAUUCCGGGGGGCAUGCCUGUUCGAGCGUCAUUUCACCACUCAAGCCUCGCUUGGUAUUGGGCAAUGCGGUCCGCCGCCUGCCUCAAAUCGACCGGCUGGGUCUUCUGUCCCCUAAGCGUUGUGGAAACUAUUCGCUAAAGGGUGUUCGGGAGGCUACGCCGUAAAACAACCCCAAUUCUAAGGUUGACCUCGGAUCAGGUAGGGAUACCCGCUGAACUUAAGCAUAUCAAUAAGCGGAGGA